GAUGAACGCUGGCGGCGUGCCUAAUACAUGCAAGUCGAGCGAACGGACGAGAAGCUUGCUUCUUUGAUGUUAGCGGCGGACGGGUGAGUAACACGUGGAUAACCUACCUAUAAGACUGGGAUAACUUCGGGAAACCGGAGCUAAUACCGGAUAAUAUUUUGAACCGCAUGGUUCAAAAGUGAAAGACGGUCUUGCUGUCACUUAUAGAUGGAUCCGCGCUGCAUUAGCUAGUUGGUAAGGUAACGGCUUACCAAGGCAACGAUGCAUAGCCGACCUGAGAGGGUGAUCGGCCACACUGGAACUGAGACACGGUCCAGACUCCUACGGGAGGCAGCAGUAGGGAAUCUUCCGCAAUGGGGGGAAGCCUGACGGAGCAACGCCGCGUGAGUGAUGAAGGUCUUCGGAUCGUAAAACUCUGUUAUUAGGGAAGAACAUAUGUGUAAGUAACUGUGCACAUCUUGACGGUAACUAAUCAGAAAGCCACGGCUAACUACGUG
RNAcentral lists this ribosomal RNA (497 nucleotides) under uncultured bacterium. RNAcentral's name for it is "partial 16S ribosomal RNA". It matches the Rfam family "Bacterial small subunit ribosomal RNA", at positions 28 to 507 of the family's 1533-position model. The record is from RNAcentral.